Molecule: unclassified non-coding RNA, 213 nt
Filed under: plant metagenome
Description: partial contains small subunit ribosomal RNA, internal transcribed spacer 1, and 5.8S ribosomal RNA
Source: RNAcentral
UUUCCGUAGGUGAACCUGCGGAAGGAUCAUUCAUAAUAAGUGUUUUAUGGCACUUUUUUAAAUCCAUAUCCACCUUGUGUGCAAUGUCAGGGUUGAUCUUUCUCUCGAGAGGAUCAACCCCAAACAUCAACUAUAUCUCAACUCUUUGUCUGAAAAAUAUUAUGAAUAAAACAAUUCAAAAUACAACUUUCAACAACGGAUCUCUUGGCUCUC